AGAGUUUGAUCCUGGCUCAGGACGAACGCUUGCGGCGUGCCUAAGAAAUGCAAGUCGAGCGAGGUUUAGAAGCUUGCUUCGAAAACCUAGCGGCGAACGGUCGCGUAACACGUAAGCAACCUGCCUCAAAGAGGGGGAUAGCCCGCCGAAAGGCGGAUCAAUACCGCAUGUGAACACAUAUAUGCAUGUAGAUGUGUUUAAACCAGAGAUGGGCUUUGAGAUGGGCUUGCGGCCUAUCAGCUAGUUGGUGAGGUAACGGCUCACCAAGGCGACGACGGGUAGCUGGUCUGAGAGGAUGGUCAGCCGGACUGGGACUGAGAUACGGCCCAGACUCCUACGGGGGGCAGCAAUUAGGAAUCUUGCGCAAUGGGCGAAAGCCUGACGCAGCGACGCCGCGUGAAGGAAGACGGCCUUCGGGUUGUAAACUUCUUUUAUCAGGGAAGAAGGAUGUGACGGUACCUGAUGAAUAAGCCCCGGCUAACUACGUGCCAGCAGCCGCGGUAAUACGUAGGGGGCGAGCGUUGUCCGAAGUUACUGGGCGUAAAGCGCGCGUAGGCGGACUUUUAAGUCGGUGGUGAAAUUCCAAGGCUCAACCUUGGAACUGCCUCCGAAACUGGAGGUCUUGAGGUAUGGAGAGGGAAGUGGAAUUCCUGGUGUAGCGGUGAAAUGCGUAGAUAUCAGGAGGAACACCCGUGGCGAAGGCGGCUUCCUGGCCAUAUCCUGACGCUGAGGUGCGAAAGCCAGGGGAGCGAACGGGAUUAGAUACCCCGGUAGUCCUGGUCGUAAACGAUGGAUACUAGGUGUUAGAGGUAUCGACCCCUCUAGUGCCGCAGCUAACGCAAUAAGUAUCCCGCCUGGGGAGUACGGCCGCAAGGUUGAAACUCAAAUGAAUUGACGG
RNAcentral lists this ribosomal RNA (898 nucleotides) under uncultured bacterium. Its description in RNAcentral is "bacterial SSU rRNA". It matches the Rfam family "Bacterial small subunit ribosomal RNA", at positions 8 to 916 of the family's 1533-position model. The record is from RNAcentral.